CGUAUCUGCUACUGUACUAGCUAGGAGUAAUAUAUAAUCCAUCCACCAGUGCAGGCUCUGGCUCUCCCUCCCUCUCUUGGAUGAUCUAGUAUAAAUCAGGCGGCGCAGGCAGCAGGCCAGCAGCAAGCAAGCCACUCUACUUGUAGCUAGCUAGCUAGCUAAGAAGAGAAGGAAGAAGAAGAUUGCUCCUCUAUCUAAUGAGCAUGAGCAUGAUGAGAUGCCGGUGCCAGCAGCAGCAGGCGACGACUGUCGUCCUGCUCCUCCUGGCCGUGAGCGCGAGCGCGAGCGCGAGGCCUCUGACUCUGACGACUCUGGGUAGUGCUAGUGCCAACGCCAACGCCAACGCUAACGCCAACGCCACCAACGGCCUGUCCGUCUACUUCCACCUCGACUCCUGCCCGCAGCUGGAGACCAUCGUCCGCUCCCACGUCGACGCCGCUCUCCGCCAGAACGUCCGCCUCACCGCCGGCCUCCUCCGCGUCUUCUUCCACGACUGCUUCCCGCAGGGAUGCGACGCCUCCAUCCUCCUCGACAACGGCGAGCGCAACCUCCCGCCCAACGUCGGCCUCCAGCAGGAGGUGCUGCAGCUCAUCGAGGACGCCCGGGCCAAGGUGCACGCCCAGUGCGGCGCCACCGUCUCCUGCGCCGACAUCACCGUCCCUCGCCACGCGCGACGCCGUCAACCUCCGCCGGCGGCCCCGCCUUCACGGUGCCCCUCGGCCGCCUCGACAGCCUGGCGCCCCCCGCCUCCGACAACGACGUCUUCAAGCUCCCGCCCCGCCGCCCACCGCCACCGUCGACGACCUCCUCACCGCCUUCACCAACGCCGGCCUCUCCGACCCGGCCGACCUCGUCUCGCUCUCCGGCGCCCACACCGUCGGCAAGGCGCGCUGCAGCUCCUUCGGCGCCGUGUCCGGGCCCGCAGGCGACGACGUCACCAGGUGCAUCACGGAGACCUGCUCGGCGGCCGGCAGCGCCGACCGGCUGCGCGACCUCGAUUUUCUGACGCCCACCGUGUUCGACAACCUCUACUUCGUCGAGCUGACGCUCAAGAAGAACCAGGGGGUGAUGCUGCCGUCGGACCAGGCGCUGGUCACCGACUCGCGCACCAGCUGGCUCGUCCAGGGCUUCGCCGACAACCACUGGUGGUUCUUCGACCAGUUCAAGACCUCCAUGGUGAAGAUGAGCCAGCUCAAGGGGCCCCAGGGGAACGUCGGCGAGGUCCGCCGCAACUGCUUCAGGCGCAACGCCGCCGCCGGCGACGAGGGCCUGAUGCUGACCGCAUCUGCCUGAUCCGAUCCCUGCUACUUGUACUGUUUCUUGUGUGUUUUAUUUAUGCAUCCACGUAUAACGACGACCACGACGACAGUAGUACUUACUCCAUAAGACAGAUGAUCGAAUAAGGAGUACUCCUAAUUCAUAAUUAAGAUUUGGGUGGCCGUGCACCACGUGGUGGCAGAUCUCGACUACCUCGUAGCUUGCUAGCUAGUCGAUCGAUCACCAUGAUAUGAUAUGCAUGCAUGUCGGCAUCGAUCAACAUCAUCUCUCAUUUUAAUUAUAUCUUGAAAUAAUAAUUAAUAUGGAUCGGUCACCAUA
Panicum virgatum (switchgrass) is the source of this 1596-nucleotide RNA transcript. It is a transcript of the gene named cationic peroxidase SPC4-like, with no coding region annotated. The record is from RefSeq and is a predicted model, not a curated record. Lineage: Eukaryota; Viridiplantae; Streptophyta; Magnoliopsida; Poales; Poaceae. The transcript has a single exon.